AUGUUCCGGAAGUUCAUGUGCAUUCGGCGUGGAAAGACCAGCACCACAGCAACUGAGGGCACAGCUGAGCCUGACUCUGGGCUGACCGAGCUCCAGGCAGAACCUGAUGUCAGCACAGAUAUCACUGCACCCUCAGAAGACUCUGACAGUCCAAUGAAUGAUCACACGGCGAAGACUGACGGGGCAGUGACUGAGGACAUGGCCAUCACAAACACUGACACCAGAGAGACUCAGGGCAUCCCAAAUACUGACACUAUGCCCAUUCCCACUGGGAUUCAUGCUCCCAAACUGGAUUUUUUUGAAGAGAGUGCUGCUUCUCCUCAGCAGCAGGUGCCAGCCAUGGUGAGGAACAUUCACCAGAGACUCGGGUCCCAUGUCACUGUGGAUGCCUGGCUGCAAAUUGACAUUCUGAGGCUGGCUGAAGAGCACCCCGCUGAUGUGGUGCUGACCCUCCUGCGCUGUGCCCCAUCGUGCGACAGAGCUGCUACAAUGAUGUGGAGAAUCAUAGGAUCAUUGGGACCAGCAGUGGAGAAGGUGUUGCCAACGCUGCUCUGUGUGAUGCAGGAAUGGCCACUUCAUAGCAUGUCCACCUCUGAUGGGGAUGAUACAGAUGUCUUUGCCCUGGCUGUGAGUUUCUGGAACUGGCCUUUACUCACCCCGAGGUCACAUCCUCACCAGCUCUCCAUCCUUCCCCCACUGCAUCUCCUUGCCUCAGGUGCUGGGCUGAAACCUGGGCUAGGGCAGGCUCAGGGGGCACCAGGCCCGGUGCUCCCCCUGCGUCUCCCCUCGGGCCCUGCCACAUGGACAGCUCGGCACUGA
RNAcentral lists this long non-coding RNA (819 nucleotides) under Corvus moneduloides (New Caledonian crow). RNAcentral's name for it is "lncRNA (ENSCMUG00000020051.1)". The record is from RNAcentral. Lineage: Eukaryota; Metazoa; Chordata; Aves; Passeriformes; Corvidae.